UCCCAGUUAACCCGGGCAGUCUCGCUAGAGUUCCCACCUAAAAUGUUGGCAACUAACGAUAAGGGUUGCGCUCGUUGCGGGACUUAACCCAACACCUCACGGCACGAGCUGACGACAGCCAUGCAGCACCUGUGCAGCGGUCCCGAAGGAAGACGCCAUCUCUGGCGCUGUCCACUGCAUGUCAAGCCUGGGUAAGGUUCUUCGCGUUGCAUCGAAUUAAACCACAUGCUCCACUGCUUGUGCGGGUCCCCGUCAAUUCUUUUGGGUUUCGGCCUUGCGACUGUACUCCCCAGGCGGUAUACUUAACGCGUUAGCUCCGGCACAGCCAGGGUUGAUUCCAGCUACACCAAGUAUACAUAGUUUACGGCAAGGACUAC
RNAcentral lists this unclassified non-coding RNA (377 nucleotides) under uncultured Parachlamydiaceae bacterium. RNAcentral describes it as "contains 16S-23S intergenic spacer region". The record is from RNAcentral. Lineage: Bacteria; Pseudomonadati; Chlamydiota; Chlamydiia; Parachlamydiales; Parachlamydiaceae.